This 415-nucleotide RNase P RNA is filed under the name Hyphomicrobiales bacterium. RNAcentral describes it as "Rhizobiales bacterium (sediment metagenome) RNase P RNA component class A". It matches the Rfam family "Bacterial RNase P class A". Rfam says of the family: Ribonuclease P (RNase P) is a ubiquitous endoribonuclease, found in archaea, bacteria and eukarya as well as chloroplasts and mitochondria. Its best characterised activity is the generation of mature 5'-ends of tRNAs by cleaving the 5'-leader elements of precursor-tRNAs. Cellular RNase Ps are ribonucleoproteins. The record is from RNAcentral. Lineage: Bacteria; Pseudomonadati; Pseudomonadota; Alphaproteobacteria; Hyphomicrobiales.
CCAGUCGGCCGGACGGCCGCUGCCGGGGUGUUCAGGCGUUAUGGCCAGCAACCCCGGUGGAGGAAAGUCCGGGCUCCAUGGAAGCACGGUGGCGGCUAACGGCCGCCGGGGGCGACCCCAGGGAAAGUGCCACAGAGAACAGACCGCCAAGGCCGGCUUCGGCCAAGGCAAGGGUGAAACGGGGCGGUAAGAGCGCACCGCGCGGACGGUAACGGACGCGGCACGGCAAACCCCACCGGGAGCAAGACCAAAUAGGGAUGGCGCGGCCUGCGGCAAACGCCGGCCGGGGCCCGUUUCCAGCCCCUGCCAUCCGGGUUGGUUGCCCGAGGCGUCCAGCAAUGGACGUCCCAGACGAAUGGCCGUCGCGGAGGCGCGAGCCUCCAGACAGAACCCGGCUUACAGGCCGACUGGCGCU